AUGCCGCAAAUGAAAAAUAUCCAUCACACAAUCUUUCUAGUCCUACAAAUACAUGUCCACAUAAACCAAGACCCAUUCAAAGUGUUUGCCAUGGCUUGCAAGACCACAGUCGUUGUUGCUAUCGCAUGUAUCUUUAUGUUGGCACUCCUCGUGUCUUCUGCUCAAGGGGACUGCAAGGGCCAUGCUAUUAAAGUAGAAUGCAACAACAAUGAUUCAUGCAUUAAGUGGUGCCAUUACUUCGGAAUCCCUCGUGGGCAUUGUCAUAUUCAUAGUGGUGGAGGCUAUUGUGUGUGUGAUGUUUCUGACUAG
Molecule: ribosomal RNA, 309 nt
Filed under: Triticum aestivum (bread wheat)
Lineage: Eukaryota; Viridiplantae; Streptophyta; Magnoliopsida; Poales; Poaceae
Description: partial small subunit ribosomal RNA
Source: RNAcentral